This 344-nucleotide unclassified non-coding RNA is filed under the name Hevea brasiliensis (rubber tree). The record is from RNAcentral. Lineage: Eukaryota; Viridiplantae; Streptophyta; Magnoliopsida; Malpighiales; Euphorbiaceae.
GCUAUUCAAUGGCGGUGCUUGCGGUUUUUUCUUAAAAAGGAAGAAUUUGUAAAAGGGUAAAAUUUUAGUGGAUUUUUGUUGGGAAAGUGCGAUUGUUGAGUGAGGGGAAGGAACCCCAGAUUUUGAUUUUGGUGGAUUUUUUUGGUGUAUGGUGUGAAUCGUAUUGGAAUUUGAGUUGGGUUUGUGGAAUGGAGGGUGGUGUGGUGAGAUCAGAACGGAGAGGGAGGAAAAGGAGAAGAAAGGAUGUUACAAAUGUGGAGGUUGAUUAGGAUGGAAAGAAAAGGGCUGUUGGGUUGAAGCCUAAAUCAUUGGUGGGUAGGUAUGUGAGGAAGGAAUUUGAGGGA